GAAGGGUGUUUAUAAACAUGAGGAAAAUCAACUUAUUACACAGAUAGAUAGUAAUAGGACAAUGAGAAAUGGCUUUAAACUAAAGGGAGGGAGAUUUAGAGUAGAUAUCAGGGGGAAGUGUUUUACUGAGAGAGUGGUGAGGUGCUGGGACAGGUUGCCCAGAGAGGUUGUGGAUACCCCAUCCUUGGAGGUGUUUAAGGCCAGGUUGGAUGGGGCCCUGGGCACCCUGACCUGGUGGGGGGCAACUUGAUUUAGUGAUUGGCAAAUCUGCCUGUGGCAUGGGGGUUGAAACUUGAUGAUUCUUAAGGCUCCUUCCAACCCAAGCCAUUCUAUGAUUCUGUGACUCUAUGAUCUGUUUAACAUAGAUCUUCAGAACAUUUUUCAUUUUAGAAAAUCUUUAUUCUUCCUCAAAGACAUAUAAGCCUCAAAGGGUCUGGCAGCAUAGCCUAAAGACAGAAUAGAUUCCUAAAAUUUGGCUUGCUAUGAACUUAGUGCUUCCUUUGCAGCUGAAGAAAAUGUUAACUGCAUACAAGAUUGAAGAUAAUCAAGGAUCACCAAGGACUAAUCUGGUCCUUAAUGGCAUAAAUAUCCUGAGAUGGAAUAAAUCUGAAAAUCAUUUGAAAUCAUUCUUCAGAGACACGGACUUGUCUUCAGAAGAAGGCUUGGAUUGUACUAGGGAGCUCUGUGUUCAGCCCCGUUUGUUGAAUGGACCUUGGACUUAUGUCAUGGACUUUUCUCAAACGGUUUACAGAUUUAACAGACUAUGUGCUAAGAACUGGAAAAAAAAGAAAAGAAAAAAAAGUGUAACAAAUAAUUCACAGAACUUCUGUUGAACUUCUGGCUACCAGAAUGGACACAAUGGAUUCCUAACUGUCACCUGUGGGAAAUUCUGCUGGCAUUUCAAUAUUUCUGCCUUAUCUUGUCCUUAUCUCCAGAAAGCACUAUGGGACUAUAACUCCAAUUUCUCGUCUGUGGAGCCUUGAAAUCUCCUCCUGCACAGAAAGGAAUCAGAAAUACAGAAGUUUUCCUACUACUGAAGUGACUUUUCCAAAGUUAAAAUAUGCUCAUUUAACUUUAAUUUGAAUGUAAUUCAAGACUAGUUUUAUAAUGGAUGUUCUUUGUUGGAUAUAAAUAGAAAAUAAGAAAUAUGAAACUGCACAAGUGCAGUGUGGGACUAUCUGCCGAGCAGCUCAGAUUAAAAUAUUCAAAAUCUAAGAUGCAUCUAAUCUGUUAUGAAUUUUUCUCUUGGUUUAUUUGCCUAUUAUCAUCAUUUCAUCAUUUGCUCUUAAGGGUAAAUUAAUAUACUCAUAUUCCAAGUAAUUUCAAGCCCCAGCGUUGUCUGUAGAUAUUUUCAAUUCAUGUAAUUCAUUCUGAUGAACCUAUACUUAAAUGUUUCCAUGAGUGCAAUGUCACCAGUGUCACGUGAGGACCUUCAAUAGUGCUUUGAUGGCAAGAGCAGUCCUGCUUAUCUUAGUGGUCUGUGAUUUCUCUGCUUAGGUGUGGGGGGAGACAACAAAGAGCUCAACAGACUCUGGUAGAUCUUAUCUCUGUGAGGCCUCCGGAGUCUGGAGACAGGGCUAAGGUGUAAACAGAAUACUCUUUAGUAUGCACAGCUAAUGUGGUCACUUCUGGGACAGUUAAGCAACCCUUUGUUUGUUAUCUAUGUUGUUGUGAAGAACUUAAGGACAAUUAACCGUGAGUGGAUUUACUGCUUACGAGUGAAGGAUAUAUAAGGUGUGUGUAAAACACAAUAAAGAGGACUUGCUAUUCUGAUGCCA
This is a long non-coding RNA of Numida meleagris (helmeted guineafowl), 1778 nucleotides long. NCBI's taxonomy places the organism in Eukaryota, Metazoa, Chordata, Aves, Galliformes, Numididae. The record is from Ensembl.